This 460-nucleotide ribosomal RNA is filed under the name uncultured bacterium. RNAcentral's name for it is "partial 16S ribosomal RNA". It matches the Rfam family "Bacterial small subunit ribosomal RNA", at positions 338 to 795 of the family's 1533-position model. The record is from RNAcentral.
CCUACGGGAGGCAGCAGUGAGGAAUAUUGGUCAAUGGGCGCGAGCCUGAACCAGCCAAGUAGCGUGAAGGAUGACUGCCCUAUGGGUUGUAAACUUCUUUUAUACAGGAAUAAAGUGAGGCACGUGUGUCUUUCUGUAAGUACUUUAUGAAUAAGGAUCGGCUAACUCCGUGCCAGCAGCCGCGGUAAUACGGAGGAUCCGAGCGUUAUCCGGAUUUAUUGGGUUUAAAGGGAGCGUAGAUGGGUUGUUAAGUCAGUUGUGAAAGUUUGCGGCUCAACCGUAAAAUUGCAAUUGAUACUGGCAGUCUUGAGUGCAGUUGAGGUAGGCGGAAUGCGUGGUGUAGCGGUGAAAUGCUUAGAUAUCACGAAGAACACCGAUUGCGAAGGCAGCUUACUAAGCUGCCACUGACAUUGAUGCACGAAAGUGUGGGUAUCAAACAGGAUUAGAUACCCGAGUAGUC